AUACUGAUGAAGAGUCUCAAGCACCAGGACGAAACAGCUGUCCAGUAC
Molecule: non-coding RNA, 48 nt
Filed under: Trichobilharzia regenti
Lineage: Eukaryota; Metazoa; Platyhelminthes; Trematoda; Strigeidida; Schistosomatidae
Source: RNAcentral